AGGUAAGCUACUAAGAGCGAAUGGUGGAUGCCUUGACUGGUAAAGGCGAUGAAGGACGUACUAGACUGCGAUAAGCUACGGGGAGCUGUCAAGAAGCUUUGAUCCGUAGAUUUCCGAAUGGGGCAACCCAAUGUAUAGAGAUAUACAUUACCUAUAUAGGAGCGAACGAGGGGAAUUGAAACAUCUUAGUACCCUCAGGAAAAGAAAUCAAUAGAGAUUGCGUCAGUAGCGGCGAGCGAAAGCGCAAGAGGGCAAACCCAGUGCUUGCACUGGGGGUUGUAGGACUGCAAUGUGCAAGAGGUAAGUUUAGCAGAACAUUCUGGAAAGUAUAACCAUAGAGGGUGAUAGUCCCGUAUGCGAAAAACAAACCUUAGCUAGCAGUAUCCUGAGUAGGGCGGGACACGAGGAAUCCUGUCUGAAUCUGGGUCGACCACGAUCCAACCCUAAAUACUAAUACCAGAUCGAUAGUGCACAAGUACCGUGAGGGAAAGGUGAAAAGAACUGAGGUGAUCAGAGUGAAAUAGAACCUGAAACCAUUUGCUUACAAUCAUUCAGAGCCCUAUGUAGCAAUACAGGGUGAUGGACUGCCUUUUGCAUAAUGAGCCUGCGAGUUGUGGUGUCUGGCAAGGUUAAGCAAACGCGAAGCCGUAGCGAAAGCGAGUCUGAAUAGGGCGCUUAGUCAGAUGCUGCAGACCCGAAACGAAGUGAUCUAUCCAUGAGCAAGUUGAAGCUAGUGUAAGAACUAGUGGAGGACUGAACCCAUAGGCGUUGAAAAGCCCCGGGAUGACUUGUGGAUAGGGGUGAAAGGCCAAUCAAACUUCGUGAUAGCUGGUUCUCUCCGAAAUAUAUUUAGGUAUAGCGUUGUGUCGUAAUAUAAGGGGGUAGAGCACUGAAUGGGCUAGGGCAUACACCAAUGUACCAAACCCUAUCAAACUCCGAAUACCUUAUAUGUAAUCACAGCAGUCAGGCGGCGAGUGAUAAAAUCCGUCGUCAAGAGGGAAACAACCCAGACUACCAGCUAAGGUCCCUAAAUCUUACUUAAGUGGAAAACGAUGUGAAGUUACUUAAACAACCAGGAGGUUGGCUUAGAAGCAGCCAUCCUUUAAAGAAAGCGUAAUAGCUCACUGGUCUAGUGAUUUUGCGCGGAAAAUAUAACGGGGCUAAAGUAAGUACCGAAGCUGUAGACUUAGUUUACUAAGUGGUAGGAGAGCGUUCUAUUUGCGUCGAAGGUAUACCGGUAAGGAGUGCUGGAGCGAAUAGAAGUGAGCAUGCAGGCAUGAGUAGCGAUAAUUAAUGUGAGAAUCAUUAACGCCGUAAACCCAAGGUUUCCUACGCGAUGCUCGUCAUCGUAGGGUUAGUCGGGUCCUAAGUCGAGUCCGAAAGGGGUAGACGAUGGCAAAUUGGUUAAUAUUCCAAUACCAACAUUAGUGUGCGAUGGAAGGACGCUUAGGGCUAAGGGGGCUAGCGGAUGGAAGUGCUAGUCUAAGGUCGUAGGAGGUUAUACAGGCAAAUCCGUAUAACAAUACUCCGAGAACUGAAAGGCUUUUUGAAGUCUUCGGAUG
Molecule: ribosomal RNA, 1562 nt
Filed under: Campylobacter coli
Lineage: Bacteria; Pseudomonadati; Campylobacterota; Epsilonproteobacteria; Campylobacterales; Campylobacteraceae
Description: partial 23S ribosomal RNA
Rfam family: Bacterial large subunit ribosomal RNA
Source: RNAcentral